AUGUAAUAAAACAUUGAUGGUUAACCACAGAAUGCAAACUUUCACAUACCAACAUACACAUGCAAAAUUUCACAUACCAUACUACUACCUUACCAACCUUCACGUAUUAACUUUAUCAUACCAACCUCCAUUUUCAACCUUCAUUAUACUAACAUUCACAAAAAAAAUAACAUACCAACCUCAGAAUGCAAAAUUUCACAUACCAACCUCAACAUACAAACUUUAAUAAAGCAAUCUAAACAUACAGAUUUUUCACAUACUAAUUUCAACAUACAAAUUUUUUACAUACCAAUCUCAACAUACAAAUUUUUCACAACCAACUACAACAUGCAUACUUAGACAGACCAGCUUUCACAUGCAAACUUUCAUAUACCAACAUACACAUACCAACAUUGACAUGCAAACUUCCACAUACUAACCUAAUAACAGACCAACAUUCACAUACCAAUAUUCACAUAAUUUAACCGUAGAGUGCAUCGGAUGUCAUAUUGCCUUGUUGAACAUUGUCAAUUUAGGAACAUAACUGUUUCCAUACCAUGCGAUAGGUUGAGGAUGAAGUGAUAUGUUAAUUUCAUCGCCUUUUCACCCUGGUAUGUAUGUUCAAGUCAAUGCACAUGUACAGACUUUGGAAUGUUAUGUUGAUUCUUUUUUUGGGGAAAAUAUCACAAAGUAUAGUUUAUAUUGUUUCGUGAGGUCAGUGUGUAAUUUUAUUUAUUAUAUACCUGUAAAUAUUUUUCUGCAUUUAAUACUUGUAGCACAUGCACAAAUAAGACACAACAAAAAUGAUUUUGUAAUGCUCAAUGAGAUGCUCGCGCUAUACCAAUAACUUUGCCAAUUAUGUUAUGGUUGAAUAUAUAGUUUUAAAUUGACAAGGUUUAUGAUAACAGAAUUAUUUUAGGAGUGUCUUGAUAUUUCGUAUUUGGGUUUUGUGGAUUUAUUAAGACUACUCCCACUUGGCGCUACUUGCCUGGCGCCACGCGAGAUUGUAUCCUAGAAAAAUCGACUAGAGUUAAUAGCAUGUAGAUGUUCCAGAUAAUGAUAGUCCUAUAACAAAUGUAUUGUUUUUAUUGUUUAUGAUAUCUUGGAUGAUACAUUAUGUAACAUAAGGUAUCGAAUAAAUUCUGUUAUGUGGUGUAAAGUGUUAUAAAUAGAAACCAAAGAUGAAUAUUGAGCCUAAUUUCAAAAAAGUUGCCAAAAGAUGAGGAUAAAUUAUUUAUGAAUAGCUUAUGUGUGAUAAGCAUAAUGUUGCAGUGCCAGAAAUUUGUUGUUUUUGUUUUGGGUUUGUUUUUUCAUCCAUGUCAGUGUUUGUAGGUGUGAUUUCUCUAUGACCCUUUUUUAUAUGUCAUAGAUUUUUUUGACUUUCAUUGAAAUUUGAUACAAUUCUUUUAAAAAGAAAUUAAGGACAACUCUUUUGUUACUAUAUUGUAUGUUGCAGAAAAUUGAAAUGUUGCAAAAGAUAUUUGAGCCGUGCCAUGACAAAACCAACAUAAUGGGUUUGCGACCAGCAUGGAUCCAGACCAGCCUGGGAUUCCACACAGUCUGAUCAGGAUCCAUGCUGUUAGGUAUCAGUUUCUCUUCUUGUUAUAGGGUCUGUAAGCGGCUCAAAUGUAUUUAUUUGAUGAAUAUGCAAACAAGGCCUAGAAAGUGGUGUGCUUUUUUUUCUCAUUCGAAAUACCUGAAUUAACUUUCUCUGUGAUGCUAUUAAUAAUUUAGUUGACUUAAAUUUGUUUGUUUACAAUGAAUGCAAUCUAUAUGAAAUAUGUAUUUUGAAAACAAAUUGUAAAUAUAGUUUGUUAUAUUUAUAUCAAAUGCUAAGAUUUAAGGUUGGAAAGAAAUAUAUAUUGUUACCUUCUUGAAUUUAUACAUGCAAGAAAUCCAUAAAAUCCAGGAUUUAAGUGACCUAGAUACAACUGUAUAACAUACAUGGUUUGACUAGUCAGUAAGUUGUGUUUAUCAAAAUGGGAAUGUUAUUAUACUGUUUAUUAUUUUCAUUCUUUUUGUUGAAAAAUUACUUGCUAUUUGCACAAGAAAAGUUUUUUUCAAGUAAAGUGCAAUAUUAAUGGUAUAUUGAUUGAGAUCUUUUUUAUAUAAUACAAAUACAGUAUACCAUGUUUUUAUAGGCCAUCCAUGGAGUCACAUAAAAUCCUGAAAAAUUCAUAAUCAUUUUGUCUGAAGAAGCACAUGAAUUUUGUCUUGAAAUUUUUCAGUUGAGAUUCACAAUUAUAAAAAAGAAUCGUAUUUUAUGACAGGUUUGUCUGUAAAGUAUUAACAUUAAUGAUGAAUUUUAAUACAGGUUUCAUAUUGCUAAACAUGAAAAUGAAAUCUCAUUGAUAUUUGCUUACAGUAAGGAUUUGAAAAAAAAAUUGGAAAAAAUUAUAAAAAUUAAAACAUUUACCUCUGCAUGUUUGACUGUUUAAUGUCUCAAUGUUUUCACUAAAUGGUUGUUCAUAUUUUUCCAGCAGUGUUAUUUAUUAAUAUUUCCUCAUAUCCAUAUCAUUUUACCCCCUCCCCCAUUUUACACCUAUUCAUCAUCUCAGUUUUUUUUUCAUUUUUACAUGUAGGUCUACAAAUUUUUUCAUUAUAUCAUAAUUAUCAUUUCCCCCUUUUUCAUUAUAAUCACUUUUCCCGUUUUUUUAUCAUUUCCCCCUGCCUUUUCAUUAUUGUCAUUUUUCACAUUUUUUAUCACUUUCCCCAGUUUUUCCUAAAUUAUCAUUUUCACAUUUUCAUUAUCUUCACCCAUCCCAUUUUUCUUAUUAUCAAUUUUCCCGUUUUCAAAGUUCUCAUUAUACAAUAUCAUUUCAUUAUUGAUUUUUAUGUUUUAGAAAUUAAAUAUAUGUAUUUAUAUAUAAAUGUAGAUUAUUUCAUCAUGUUUUUUUUUUGCAGUGCAAUAGUAGUUUGUUGUUACUUCCCUAGAAUAUCAUUUAAAUCGUUAUAUAUACAUGUAUAGUGUUAAUAUUAUACAUGCAUGUUUAAGUGAAUUUUCUUGAAGAAUAUUUCUGCAUUUUUUUCACAUGCAGGAGAUGUUACAAUAAAUGGAUUUUUUUGUGUUUGUAUCAAAUGCAAACAAGAUGAUCAUAUGUUGUAUAAAAUUUAGAUAAUCCGGACCCAUUGCUUUGUUUAGUAAUCCGAAACACGAUUUUUUUAUUUACGAAAUGUUUAAAAGUUGUAGAAUUUGAUAUACAGUAGAUUUUAUGAAUUAAAGAGUUGAUUUCAAGUAUAUAAGCAAGGUUUUUUUU
Long non-coding RNA from Ruditapes philippinarum (Manila clam), 3236 nucleotides. RefSeq lists it as uncharacterized. The transcript has 2 exons. The record is from RefSeq and is a predicted model, not a curated record. Lineage: Eukaryota; Metazoa; Mollusca; Bivalvia; Venerida; Veneridae.